UGGGGAAUAUUGCACAAUGGGGGAAACCCUGAUGCAGCGACGCCGCGUGAAGGACGAAGUAUUUCGGUACGUAAACUUCUAUCAGCAGGGAAGAAAAUGACGGUACCUGACCAAGAAGCCCCGGCUAACUACGUGCC
RNAcentral lists this ribosomal RNA (137 nucleotides) under uncultured bacterium. Its description in RNAcentral is "partial 16S ribosomal RNA". It matches the Rfam family "Bacterial small subunit ribosomal RNA", at positions 355 to 509 of the family's 1533-position model. The record is from RNAcentral.